Molecule: non-coding RNA, 221 nt
Organism: Pelobates cultripes (western spadefoot toad)
Lineage: Eukaryota; Metazoa; Chordata; Amphibia; Anura; Pelobatidae
Source: the annotation of a GenBank genome assembly
GGCAUAAGGCUAUCCUAACUAUAAGAUAAGGCUAGGGACUAAUGAAAGUAUUUAGAAAAUUGGGCAGACUAGAUGGGCCGAAUGGUUCUUAUCUGCCGUCACAUUCUAUGUUUCUAUGUUUCUAUGUUUCUAUAAAAAUAAAUGGAGGCAUUCGUAACGUGAGAUUAGUGAGCACUCACUUAAUUUAAACUCCAGUCUUCAAGUCAAAAUAUUAAUAAAUA